AUCCAUAUAGUUAAGUGGUAUAAUACCGAACUUACAAUCGUAAGUGAGGAGUCGUGGGUUGGAAUCCCGCUAUGGGUA
Colletotrichum phormii is the source of this 78-nucleotide non-coding RNA. The record is from the annotation of a RefSeq genome assembly. Lineage: Eukaryota; Fungi; Ascomycota; Sordariomycetes; Glomerellales; Glomerellaceae.